This is a long non-coding RNA of Cyprinus carpio carpio, 1589 nucleotides long. The record is from Ensembl. Lineage: Eukaryota; Metazoa; Chordata; Actinopteri; Cypriniformes; Cyprinidae.
CCUGUGUGUGCGUUUGUUGCUGUGACAACCCCAAAUGACGGAUUGGCAACAGGUGUGGGGGAUUUACUCAGAGAGUUUGCGUGAGGCCUCAUCAACAGUGGAGAGGAUAAAAAGCAAGAGAGAGAGGUGGUCGGUGUGGUUUUUCUCCCUUGUGAAAAGUCGUUUUAUUGGGUGGUAAUAGUUACUGGAGGACGGGUGAAUGAAGAGGAAAGUGUUGCUUUGAUGAGGGAUUCGAGGACAACAGAAGGAGAGUGAAAUACCCUGUUUGCAUUGGAGAGGAGCUAAGUAACUGAGAACUGAGUCUUGUAAUUGCACACGUUUGACACUGAAUUGGAUGUGGUUUGGAGUGUUUGGAUCACGAUCAUAAAUAUCACUGAGUGGAUUGUACUGAUUCAUUACCGAUCUCUUACCUCUCCCUCCUUUAUAAAUGGUGAUGUGAACUCUGCCUGUGACUGUGAAGAGCAACAUCUCAGAACAUCCUCAGUGGCAGUGAGGAUCGCGCCUUCCCCUCGGACCGAAACCCGAAUGAGAAGAGAUGCCCUGUUGAAAUAUUUACUAUCUGCCUCAGAAAAGCCCUGUGCAAUCUGUUUACUUCGAGUCUGCUGUAUCCCUGCCAUUCAACUGUAUGCCCACCUGAGCUGAGAGCAGUGGCUGUUCCCUCUGUCAUGAAUCUGAGGCUGGCAUGCUCUGUCUGGAAUAUCCACUCUGUCUGUGUCAGAAGAAGCCCCGUUCAGCCCGUUGACUUCGAGUCUGCUGUAUCCCUGCCAUUCAUCUGUAUUGUGAGAAGUGUUCGUUCCUUCCAACGCAUGUGAAUUGUAUACUUUGUCUGAAGCAUUCAUUCUGUCUGUGUCAGUAGAAACCCUGCACAGCCUGUUGACCUAGAGUUUGUUGCAUCCUUGUGGCCCACCUGUGCUGAGAGAGAUGACUGUCCUUUGUCACGAACGUGAGGCUGGCACGCUUUGUCUGGAAUAUCCACUCUGACGGUGUCAGGAGAAACCACCUUACUGUAAGACCGUGCACCUGCCGUAUACGUACUCGACUGAUAUCAUUCACCUCAAAUUCCGUACCUGUGGAAGAAGGAAGGCUGGAAUUACAUACUUACCGGAGGAGACUUACCGGACCCCUCACUUGCCAAACACAUCCCCACCUCAAGGCUGUGUAUCUGCCGUGUACGGACCUGACCGAUAUCCAUCCGUCCCAAAUUCUGCAUCUGUGAAAAAGGGAAGGAAGGUUGGAAGUAUUUAAUUAUCAGAGGAGACUUACCAGACUGUUGGCUUGCCGAUCGUAUCCCCACCUGUGAAAUACCUACUUGACCACCCAUCUGUCCAUCUAUUACGGGGCCCGCACAGAGGAAGAGGGCGGGAGAGUCCCCGGUCGCUGCACUGUUCACCUUCGAUUCCUGAGGGCAUCAAAGAUUUUAGAUUAGGAUUUCCAAUUUGCUUUUACUUCAAAAUAAAACUUGUUAAAUUUAUUCUCUGUCUCCGACUCUUCCCUCUGAUACGCUCCUCGAGGUGGUCCUGGUUUAGGGGUGGGCGCAGUCUAGCUUGGGCCUCCCGACCUGUGACUUAUUAUUAUUUUAUUUUUUUUUU